AUAGACUUGAUAAAACAAGUCACAUAUUCAAAAAGGAAUUACUUUAGAAGGAAUUCUUUUGUAUGUGAUUCGUUUAAAUAACUUGUGUUAGCUAGGGUUGUUGAUAGUCUCAAAAUUGUUGAGACAUCAUCAAUAAGCUAAUGGAUCUCAAUGAUCCAAGACAAGUUAGUGGGAGCAAUAUGCAUUCAAAUCAAGAAAAUAUAAUUGUUAAUUUUUGAAUGAAUGCUAAGUUACAACAAGGCCAGUGGGAGUGAUGUCAUAAUUUGAGCAACAAGAUGUGAAU
RNAcentral lists this long non-coding RNA (283 nucleotides) under Malus domestica (apple). RNAcentral describes it as "long non-coding RNA (MDOM_LNC020212)". Lineage: Eukaryota; Viridiplantae; Streptophyta; Magnoliopsida; Rosales; Rosaceae. The record is from RNAcentral.